AUUGAACGCUGGCGGCAGGCCUAACACAUGCAAGUCGAGCGGAUGAAGGGAGCUUGCUCCUGGAUUCAGCGGCGGACGGGUGAGUAAUGCCUAGGAAUCUGCCUGGUAGUGGGGGAUAACGUCCGGAAACGGGCGCUAAUACCGCAUACGUCCUGAGGGAGAAAGUGGGGGAUCUUCGGACCUCACGCUAUCAGAUGAGCCUAGGUCGGAUUAGCUAGUUGGUGGGGUAAAGGCCUACCAAGGCGACGAUCCGUAACUGGUCUGAGAGGAUGAUCAGUCACACUGGAACUGAGACACGGUCCAGAGUCCUACGGGAGGCAGCAGUGGGGAAUAUUGGACAAUGGGCGAAAGCCUGAUCCAGCCAUGGCGCGUGUGUGAAGAAAGUCUUCGGAUUGGAAAGCACUUUAAGUUGGGGGGAAGGGCAGUAAGUUAAUACCUUGCUGUUUUGACGUUACCAACAGAAUAAGCACCGGCUAACUUCGUG
This 484-nucleotide ribosomal RNA is filed under the name uncultured bacterium. Its description in RNAcentral is "partial 16S ribosomal RNA". It matches the Rfam family "Bacterial small subunit ribosomal RNA", at positions 30 to 507 of the family's 1533-position model. The record is from RNAcentral.